This is a long non-coding RNA of Aphis gossypii (cotton aphid), 487 nucleotides long. RefSeq lists it as uncharacterized. NCBI's taxonomy places the organism in Eukaryota, Metazoa, Arthropoda, Insecta, Hemiptera, Aphididae. The transcript is spliced from 3 exons. The record is from RefSeq and is a predicted model, not a curated record.
GUCACGGUGCUACGAAACGCCGUCUCCGGCACAGUUUUCCUCAGCGCGACCCUUUCCUCGGGUGUGGCACCAAACUCGACGGACGCCGUUUCCGGUACCGCUGCUCGCAGGGACGAACCGAACGCGGGAGACCGCUAUACAGAAAAUGGGAUAUACGGUUCGGUGGUCUACUAUUGAGUCAUCCGAGUGUGUACCGGGCGGCGACACCGCCGCCACUGGACGGUCCACUUGUUACGGAGACCUUGACUGAACCGUCACUGCGUUAUUCCCGCAUAAGCCAGCUCUAGAACAUGCGGUGAAUUCAAUGGGCUCGCAAUAAGGAAUCGAGGAUAUCAGGAUAAAGUCAGAAUGUCAGAAAAACUGAAGUUGGACUGAUAACUAUACAGGAAAAAUGUUGAUUUAUGUAUUAAUAUAUUGUUUAUAAAUUUUUAAAAUCAGAUAUUGAUGUGUAAGUUUUCUUUUGGCCGAGUAGAAACACAAAGUUCAA